This 253-nucleotide ribosomal RNA is filed under the name uncultured bacterium. Its description in RNAcentral is "partial 16S ribosomal RNA". It matches the Rfam family "Bacterial small subunit ribosomal RNA", at positions 524 to 776 of the family's 1533-position model. The record is from RNAcentral.
UACGUAGGGCGCAAGCGUUAUCCGGAAUUAUUGGGCGUAAAGAGCUCGUAGGCGGUUUGUCGCGUCUGCCGUGAAAGUCCGGGGCUCAACCCCGGAUCUGCGGUGGGUACGGGCAGACUAGAGUGAUGUAGGGGAGACUGGAAUUCCUGGUGUAGCGGUGAAAUGCGCAGAUAUCAGGAGGAACACCGAUGGCGAAGGCAGGUCUCUGGGCAUUAACUGACGCUGAGGAGCGAAAGCAUGGGGAGCAAACAGG